This 491-nucleotide ribosomal RNA is filed under the name uncultured bacterium. Its description in RNAcentral is "partial 16S ribosomal RNA". It matches the Rfam family "Bacterial small subunit ribosomal RNA", at positions 28 to 507 of the family's 1533-position model. The record is from RNAcentral.
GAUGAACGCUAGCUACAGGCUUAACACAUGCAAGUCGAGGGGAAACGACAUUGAAGCUUGCUUCGAUGGUCGUCGACCGGCGCACGGGUGAGUAACGCGUAUCCAACCUGCCUCUGACCAAGGGAUAACCCGUCGAAAGUCGGCCUAAUACCCUAUGCAGUCGUCGGAAGUCAUCUGAUGACGACGAAAGAUUUCAUCGGUGAGAGAUGGGGAUGCGUCUGAUUAGCUUGUUGGCGGAGUAACGGCCCACCAAGGCAACGAUCAGUAGGGGUUCUGAGAGGAAGGUCCCCCACAUUGGAACUGAGACACGAUCCAAACUCCUACGGGAGGCAGCAGUGAGGAAUAUUGGUCGAUGAGCGAGAGCCUGAACCAGCCAAGUAGCGUGCAGGAGGACGGCCCUAUGGGUUGUAAACUGCUUUUAUGCGGGGGUAAAGUGAGGGACGUGUCCUUCAUUGCAGGUACCGCAUGAAUAAGGACCGGCUAAUUCCGUG